Molecule: transfer RNA, 74 nt
Filed under: Mycoplasma suis KI3806
Lineage: Bacteria; Bacillati; Mycoplasmatota; Mollicutes; Mycoplasmatales; Mycoplasmataceae
Also listed under: 2 other names
Description: tRNA-Gly (GCC) (tRNA-Gly-GCC-1-1)
Rfam family: tRNA
About the family: Transfer RNA (tRNA) molecules are approximately 80 nucleotides in length. Their secondary structure includes four short double-helical elements and three loops (D, anti-codon, and T loops).
Source: RNAcentral
GCAGAAUUAGUUUAGUGAUAAAACACAACCUUGCCAAGGUUGAGUCGUGAGUUUGAUUCUCAUAUUCUGCUCCA